This 424-nucleotide ribosomal RNA is filed under the name Fusobacteriota bacterium. Its description in RNAcentral is "Fusobacteria bacterium partial 16S ribosomal RNA". It matches the Rfam family "Bacterial small subunit ribosomal RNA", at positions 355 to 776 of the family's 1533-position model. The record is from RNAcentral. Lineage: Bacteria; Fusobacteriati; Fusobacteriota.
UGAGGAAUAUUGGUCAAUGCGCGAGAGCCUGAACCAGCCAAGUCGCGUGAAGGAAGACAGUCCUAAGGAUUGUAAACUUCUUUUAUACGGGAAUAACGGGCGAUACGAGUAUUGCAUUGAAUGUACCGUAAGAAUAAGCAUCGGCUAACUCCGUGCCAGCAGCCGCGGUAAUACGGAGGAUGCGAGCGUUAUCCGGAUUUAUUGGGUUUAAAGGGUGCGUAGGUUGUUCGGUAAGUCAGCGGUGAAACCUGAGCGCUCAACGUUCAGCCUGCCGUUGAAACUGCCGGGCUUGAGUGCAGUGGCGGCAGGCGGAAUUCGUGGUGUAGCGGUGAAAUGCAUAGAUAUCACGAGGAACUCCGAUUGCGAAGGCAGCUUGCCAUACUGCGACUGACACUGAAGCACGAAGGCGUGGGUAGCAAACAGG